This 117-nucleotide non-coding RNA is filed under the name Gorilla gorilla gorilla (western lowland gorilla). Lineage: Eukaryota; Metazoa; Chordata; Mammalia; Primates; Hominidae. The record is from Rfam by way of RNAcentral.
GCCGGGUGUGGUGGCUCACGCCUGUAAUCCCAGCAUCUUGGGAGGCUGAGGCGGGCGGAUCACCUGAGGUCAGGAGUUUGAGACCAGCCUGGCCAACAUGGCAAAACCCCGUCUCUA